CCUACGGGUGGCUGCAGUGGGGAAUAUUGCACAAUGGGGGAAACCCUGAUGCAGCAACGCCGCGUGAGUGAAGAAGUAUUUCGGUAUGUAAAGCUCUAUCAGCAGGGAAGAAGAAAGACGGUACCUGACUAAGAAGCCCCGGCUAACUACGUGCCAGCAGCCGCGGUAAUACGUAGGGGGCAAGCGUUAUCCGGAUUUACUGGGUGUAAAGGGAGCGUAGACGGCUGUGCAAGUCUGAAGUGAAAGCCCGUGGCUCAACCGCGGAACUGCUUUGGAAACUGUAUAGCUUGAGUACUGGAGAGGCAGGCGGAAUUCCUAGUGUAGCGGUGAAAUGCGUAGAUAUUAGGAGGAACACCAGUGGCGUAAGCGCUUUACUGGGCCGUAAUUGACGCUGAGGAACGAAAGCCAGGGUAGCAAAUGGGAUUAGAUACCCUAGUAGUC
This 441-nucleotide ribosomal RNA is filed under the name uncultured bacterium. Its description in RNAcentral is "partial 16S ribosomal RNA". It matches the Rfam family "Bacterial small subunit ribosomal RNA", at positions 338 to 795 of the family's 1533-position model. The record is from RNAcentral.